GACAGAGGUGCCGAGCGUUAGGCGGAAUCACUGGGCUUAAAGCGUGUGUAGGCGGGCCGUUAAGUAUCUUGUGAAAUCCCCCGACUCAACCGGGGAAUGGCUGGAUAUACUGGCGGUCUUGAGCAGUCUAGGGGCAGAUGGAACAAGUGGUGGAGCGGUGAAAUGCGUAGAUAUCGUAAGGAAGACCAGUGGCGAAGGCGGGUCUCUGGACCGAAACUGACACUGAAGCGCGAAAGCUAGGGGAGCAAACGGG
RNAcentral lists this ribosomal RNA (253 nucleotides) under uncultured bacterium. RNAcentral describes it as "partial 16S ribosomal RNA". It matches the Rfam family "Bacterial small subunit ribosomal RNA", at positions 524 to 776 of the family's 1533-position model. The record is from RNAcentral.